GCCCUGCCAGCCGCAGCCAUCUCGGCGGGCGCGCCGCUCGCAGCCAGCGCCCCAUCCCCAGGCCUGCACGUACGUCGUCGGCGAUCCGGGGCCGGGGGCGGCUCCGAGGUCGUCGGGGCCGGGGUCCCACCUCCUCUUGGAGGAAGCGCCGCCUCCCCACCCGCCCGGGGCCCUCGCCAAGUGGCUGCUAACAAAGCCCAGGGCCCGGCUGCGGGAUGGUUGACUGACAAAGUCAUGCCUGCCUAGCCAGCUUCCUCGUGCAGCACGGUGAAGGCUGGGGCGCCGGGUUUUUACUCCCACGUCCUGCCAACUCGAGCUGACAAGGCGGGCAAUCCACCAGCGGGAGCGUUGGCAGGCCCGGGGUCAGAUCCUGAUUCAGCCAGUUAAUUGGAGCUGAACACUGCCCCGAGAAUGCAACAGAACUUCAGCUCUGUCCCAAGGUCGUCAGCCACAGCUCCAAGUUUCUUAGCAUCAGCUUUUUCUGAACAAAAUAGUGCAUCCUGCUGGAAUCACUACUGUAAACUGAGUAUAAAGGAAAAUAAACCCUCUUUUUCUUAUCC
RNAcentral lists this long non-coding RNA (560 nucleotides) under Homo sapiens (human). RNAcentral describes it as "HSALNT0247791". The record is from RNAcentral. Lineage: Eukaryota; Metazoa; Chordata; Mammalia; Primates; Hominidae.